GUGGUAAUGCCGGAUGCUCCAUCACACUGCAUGGUGUGUUGGGAAAGCCUUUGCGGCAUGGGAUGGGGUCGCGUCCUAUCAGCUUGAUGGCGGGGUAACGGCCCACCAUGGCUUCGACGGGUAGCCGGCCUGAGAGGGCGACCGGCCACAUUGGGACUGAGAUACGGCCCAGACUCCUACGGGAGGCAGCAGUGGGGAAUAUUGCACAAUGGGCGCAAGCCUGAUGCAGCGACGCCGCGUGAGGGAUGGAGGCCUUCGGGUUGUAAACCUCUUUUGUUAGGGAGCAAGGCAUUUUGUGUUGAGUGUACCUUUCGAAUAAGCACCGGCUAACUACGUGCCAGCAGCCGCGGUAAUACGUAGGGUGCAAGCGUUAUCCGGAAUUAUUGGGCGUAAAGGGCUCGUAGGCGGUUCGUCGCGUCCGGUGUGAAAGUCCAUCGCUUAACGGUGGAUCCGCGCCGGGUACGGGCGGGCUUGAGUGCGGUAGGGGAGACUGGAAUUCCCGGUGUAACGGUGGAAUGUGUAGAUAUCGAAAAAAAACACCA
Molecule: ribosomal RNA, 542 nt
Filed under: Bifidobacterium breve
Lineage: Bacteria; Bacillati; Actinomycetota; Actinomycetes; Bifidobacteriales; Bifidobacteriaceae
Description: bacterial SSU rRNA
Rfam family: Bacterial small subunit ribosomal RNA
Source: RNAcentral